RNAcentral lists this non-coding RNA (30 nucleotides) under Homo sapiens (human). The record is from RNAcentral. Lineage: Eukaryota; Metazoa; Chordata; Mammalia; Primates; Hominidae.
UCCCAACAUCACUAAGGCUUCAGCAGCCCU